This 1494-nucleotide ribosomal RNA is filed under the name Staphylococcus haemolyticus. RNAcentral describes it as "bacterial SSU rRNA". It matches the Rfam family "Bacterial small subunit ribosomal RNA". The record is from RNAcentral. Lineage: Bacteria; Bacillati; Bacillota; Bacilli; Caryophanales; Staphylococcaceae.
GGCUCAGGAUGAACGCUGGCGGCGUGCCUAAUACAUGCAAGUCGAGCGAACAGACAAGGAGCUUGCUCCUUUGACGUUAGCGGCGGACGGGUGAGUAACACGUGGGUAACCUACCUAUAAGACUGGGAUAACUUCGGGAAACCGGAGCUAAUACCGGAUAAUAUUUCGAACCGCAUGGUUCGAUAGUGAAAGAUGGUUUUGCUAUCACUUAUAGAUGGACCCGCGCCGUAUUAGCUAGUUGGUAAGGUAACGGCUUACCAAGGCGACGAUACGUAGCCGACCUGAGAGGGUGAUCGGCCACACUGGAACUGAGACACGGUCCAGACUCCUACGGGAGGCAGCAGUAGGGAAUCUUCCGCAAUGGGCGAAAGCCUGACGGAGCAACGCCGCGUGAGUGAUGAAGGUCUUCGGAUCGUAAAACUCUGUUAUUAGGGAAGAACAUACGUGUAAGUAACUAUGCACGUCUUGACGGUACCUAAUCAGAAAGCCACGGCUAACUACGUGCCAGCAGCCGCGGUAAUACGUAGGUGGCAAGCGUUAUCCGGAAUUAUUGGGCGUAAAGCGCGCGUAGGCGGUUUUUUAAGUCUGAUGUGAAAGCCCACGGCUCAACCGUGGAGGGUCAUUGGAAACUGUAAAACUUGAGUGCAGAAGAGGAAAGUGGAAUUCCAUGUGUAGCGGUGAAAUGCGCAGAGAUAUGGAGGAACACCAGUGGCGAAGGCGACUUUCUGGUCUGUAACUGACGCUGAUGUGCGAAAGCGUGGGGAUCAAACAGGAUUAGAUACCCUGGUAGUCCACGCCGUAAACGAUGAGUGCUAAGUGUUAGGGGGUUUCCGCCCCUUAGUGCUGCAGCUAACGCAUUAAGCACUCCGCCUGGGGAGUACGACCGCAAGGUUGAAACUCAAAGGAAUUGACGGGGACCCGCACAAGCGGUGGAGCAUGUGGUUUAAUUCGAAGCAACGCGAAGAACCUUACCAAAUCUUGACAUCCUUUGACAACUCUAGAGAUAGAGCCUUCCCCUUCGGGGGACAAAGUGACAGGUGGUGCAUGGUUGUCGUCAGCUCGUGUCGUGAGAUGUUGGGUUAAGUCCCGCAACGAGCGCAACCCUUAAGCUUAGUUGCCAUCAUUAAGUUGGGCACUCUAAGUUGACUGCCGGUGACAAACCGGAGGAAGGUGGGGAUGACGUCAAAUCAUCAUGCCCCUUAUGAUUUGGGCUACACACGUGCUACAAUGGACAAUACAAAGGGCAGCGAAACCGCGAGGUCAAGCAAAUCCCAUAAAGUUGUUCUCAGUUCGGAUUGUAGUCUGCAACUCGACUACAUGAAGCUGGAAUCGCUAGUAAUCGUAGAUCAGCAUGCUACGGUGAAUACGUUCCCGGGUCUUGUACACACCGCCCGUCACACCACGAGAGUUUGUAACACCCGAAGCCGGUGGAGUAACCAUUUGGAGCUAGCCGUCGAAGGUGGGACAAAUGAUUGGGGUGAAGUCGUAACAAGG